RNAcentral lists this ribosomal RNA (253 nucleotides) under uncultured bacterium. RNAcentral describes it as "partial 16S ribosomal RNA". It matches the Rfam family "Bacterial small subunit ribosomal RNA", at positions 524 to 776 of the family's 1533-position model. The record is from RNAcentral.
UACGUAGGGUGCAAGCGUUGUCCGGAAUUAUUGGGCGUAAAGAGCUCGUAGGCGGUCUGUCGCGUCGGCUGUGAAAACCCGUGGCUCAACCCCGGGCCUGCAGUCGAUACGGGCAGACUAGAGUGCGGUAGGGGAGACUGGAAUUCCUGGUGUAGCGGUGAAAUGCGCAGAUAUCAGGAGGAACACCGGUGGCGAAGGCGGGUCUCUGGGCAUUAACUGACGCUGAGGAGCGAAAGCAUGGGGAGCGAACAGG